This 21-nucleotide non-coding RNA is filed under the name Caenorhabditis elegans. The record is from RNAcentral. Lineage: Eukaryota; Metazoa; Nematoda; Chromadorea; Rhabditida; Rhabditidae.
UUUUCCUAGUAUCAGGCUAAU